Molecule: ribosomal RNA, 1357 nt
Filed under: metagenome
Description: bacterial LSU rRNA
Rfam family: Bacterial large subunit ribosomal RNA
Source: RNAcentral
AGGCUGUUAGGCAAAUCCGGCAGCGUAAUUCAAGGGCAUGGGACGAACGAAUUUAUUCGUGAAGCAAUCGGAAGUGGUUCCAAGAAAAGCCUCUAAGCUUCAGUCUAACGAGACCGUACCGCAAACCGACACAGGUGGGCGAGAUGAGUAUUCUAAGGCGCUUGAGAGAACUCGGGAGAAGGAACUCGGCAAAUUGGUACCGUAACUUCGGGAUAAGGUACGCCCUUGUAGUUUGACUACUUUACUGUAGAAGGACGAAGGGGUUGCAAUAAACUGGUGGCUGCGACUGUUUAAUAAAAACACAGCACUAUGCAAACACGAAAGUGGACGUAUAUGGUGUGACUCCUGCCCGGUGCUGGAAGAUUAAAUGAUGGGGUGCAAGCUCUUGAUUGAAGUCCCAGUAAACGGCGGCCGUAACGAUAACGGUCCUAAGGUAGCGAAAUUCCUUGUCGGGUAAGUUCCGACCUGCACGAAUGGAGUAACGAUGGCCACACUGUCUCCUCCCGAGACUCAGCGAAGUUGAAAUGUUUGUGAUGAUGCAAUCUACCCGCGGCUAGACGGAAAGACCCCAUAAACCUUUACUGUAGCUUUGCAUUGGACUUUGAACCAAUCUGUGUAGGAUAGGUGGGAGGCUUUGAAGCGGGGACGCUAGUUCUCGUGGAGCCAACCUUGAAAUACCACCCUGGUUUGUUUGAGGUUCUAACCUUGGUCCGUUAUCCGGAUCGGGGACAGUGCAUGGUAGGCAGUUUGACUGGGGCGGUCUCCUCCCAAAGUGUAACGGAGGAGUUCGAAGGCACGCUAGGUACGGUCGGACAUCGUGCUAAUAGUGCAAUGGCAUAAGCGUGCUUAACUGCGAGACUGACAAGUCGAGCAGGUACGAAAGUAGGACAUAGUGAUCCGGUGGUUCUGUAUGGAACGGCCAUCGCUCAACGGAUAAAAGGUACUCUGGGGAUAACAGGCUGAUUCCUCCCAAGAGUUCAUAUCGACGGGGGAGUUUGGCACCUCGAUGUCGGCUCAUCACAUCCUGGGGCUGUAGCCGGUCCCAAGGGUAUGGCUGUUCGCCAUUUAAAGUGGUACGUGAGCUGGGUUUAAAACGUCGUGAGACAGUUUGGUCCCUAUCUGCCGUGGGCGUUGGAAAUUUGAAGGGGGCUGCUCCUAGUACGAGAGGACCGGAGUGGACGAACCUCUGGUGUACCGGUUGUCACGCCAGUGGCAUUGCCGGGUAGCUAAGUUCGGAAGAGAUAACCGCUGAAAGCAUCUAAGCGGGAAACUUGCCUUAAGAUGAGAUUUCCCAGAGCCUUGAGCUCUUUGAAGGGUCGUUCGAGACCAGGACGUUGAUAGGUCAGGUGUGGAAGUG